UAGGGAAUCUUCGGCAAUGGGGGGAACCCUGACCGAGCAACGCCGCGUGAGUGAAGAAGGUUUUCGGAUCGUAAAGCUCUGUUGUUAAGGAAGAACGAGUGUGAGAAUGGAAAGUUCAUACUGUGACGGUACUUAACCAGAAAGGGACGGCUAACUACGUGCCAGCAGCCGCGGUAAUACGUAGGUCCCGAGCGUUGUCCGGAAUUAUUGGGCGUAAAGAGCUUGUAGGCGGUUCGUCGCGUCUGGUGUGAAAGCCCAUCGCUUAACGGUGGGUUUGCGCCGGGUACGGGCGGGCUAGAGUGCAGUAGGGGAGACUGGAAUUCCCGGUGUAACGGUGGAAUGUGUAGAUAUCGGGAAGAACACCAAUGGCGAAGGCAGGUCUCUGGGCUGUUACUGACGCUGAGAAGCGAAAGCGUGGGGAGCGAACAGG
This 430-nucleotide ribosomal RNA is filed under the name Bacteroidota bacterium. Its description in RNAcentral is "Bacteroidetes bacterium partial 16S ribosomal RNA". It matches the Rfam family "Bacterial small subunit ribosomal RNA", at positions 355 to 776 of the family's 1533-position model. Lineage: Bacteria; Pseudomonadati; Bacteroidota. The record is from RNAcentral.